GUUCUGAAUGACUGAAUCUACUGAUGAUAGCGUGUGAUGCAGCUAUAGUGCGUAGGGUUUCGAUGCUUAUGACCACGACAGUACAGGAACACAAACACACGAGUUCUGUUCAGCGUGCUAGUUGAGUUAGCAGUUUCAUAAUAUCAUUUUAGAGCAACUCCAACUCUUAGAGCGAUAAUUGUCCAAGCUAUUAGGCAAUUGGCAAUUAUUGCUUUAGAUCAGUUCCACCCUUAAAAAAAUACGCUAGCAUCAAUGAACAGUGAUAUAUCACAAUGAACAGUGUUA
Molecule: long non-coding RNA, 285 nt
Filed under: Malus domestica (apple)
Lineage: Eukaryota; Viridiplantae; Streptophyta; Magnoliopsida; Rosales; Rosaceae
Description: long non-coding RNA (MDOM_LNC014846)
Source: RNAcentral